CCACUCGUGUGGACGUGCAGCACACACUGCAACAGCUGAAAGUGAAACAAGCUUCUACACGCGGUGACUAACAAUGCACCAAACUUCUUACCAGCUAAGUAUUUCAAAGCUUGCAUGCUCUUACCUUGUUGGGAAGCAUUCGGCAAACUUGAUUCAUUCUCCUCCAUUUCUAACAGGGAUAACCUCCACUGCAAGGAGCAAAGCUGUUCUACCACGUUGGCUGAGUCGCUGCGCAAGUUUUGACCUCCUGACUUUCAACUAUAGCACGAAAAGAAGAUCACUCAAACCUGCAUCAUAUUAACGUAUGAAGGGCACAAGAAAACUAAGAAUGAAGUCUUCCAUAUUCAUCAAGAACAUUCUACGCCUUGCCACUUAGUUGGAGAACUGCUUCUCAGAGCAAAUUUAUCAAGACCAACCUGGUUCUAGAAGUACCUCAAUGCUUAAUCACAGAACACCCCAAGUGGGAAGGGACCCACAAGGAUCAUCAGUCAAACCUGACUCCUGGAUCUACACAGGACAAAACACAAAUUAAGCCCUUUGUGUGAAAACAUUGUCCAGGCACACCUUGAACUCCAGCAGCUUGGAGACUCCACACAAGAGCUGGGCCUUCAAACCACAAAACUGUGAGCAUUUCUUGACCUUGAGUUGUGUGGGGUUUUUUUGUUUUGUUUUUAGUUUGUUUUAGUGCUACCUGGAAGUUAGUCUUAUGACAUGCCUUAGUAACAUAACCCCUAAUAUUCAGAUAUGAAGAGAGGGUAUUGUUAUAACUGCAUCUGAUAGUACCAGCUAAGUCUGGAAAGAUAUACACUUGUAAUUAAGACUUUUCUGAGAACAGUAAUCUUACCAAACCCUUAACUCACAGACAGAGCAAGAUGAGUUUCACAAAACCGAAAAUUUUGGAUGAUUUCAAAGAACGAGCACAAAACAACCAAAUGAAAUAUGGCAACGAUAUUAGAGCAUGCAGAGGAGAUUAAGAAUACUUGGCUUCAAUAUGAAGUAAUUAAGGGUCUAGAAAGAUAAUAUAAAUAACUGUAUUUACUACAAUUAUUCCAUAAACUAAACAAGUGUGACAUGUUGUACCAUGGCACACAGUAAGUUGAACAGUUCUGCAGAAGAAAGGCUAGAAGCACACAGUAUGAGGGGAUACAUUUCCAAAGCACGUGCAUAUAUGAUGAAAGCUGCAGACCACUGAGAAUCAGCCACUGAUUUGGCUCUUAAUUUCUUGCAGAUAUUUAAUUACCCUUUCACCAGUUUCACUCCCGUGCUCUCCAUAUCAGAGUGUGGUAUAAUGAAAGCAAAAUUAGGAGGAACAGAAAUGCAAAUUCCCGAUCUAUCAUUUUUUUUUGCAACUGACCUCAUAAAAUGCAGAAGUGAGAGUUGCAACCUGGUUUUCAAUUAUUUAUACCUUGCUGCCUUUCUAAUUUCACAUUUUCCAUUCAAUUUUAGCGAUUUCUCCUUCAUAUGCAUAUUCAGUUUUUAGACAAAACCAACAGUUGCCAAGGCACGAUGUUAGACACAAGCAUUCAUGCCACCGACUGCCUUUGUGUUUACUCCUGCAGCACGGUCCAAACUCGUGUUUGCACUCUAUUCUGAGCAAACACUUAGUUUUGCAACUUCUUAAAAUUCUUUUGAGCACAUAAAAUGCUCAAAUCUCCUUCAAACAGAACAAUUAUGAUAAGAAAAAAGUUUUAGAAUAGGUGUUUGAUAGAUGAUUUUCAUUCACCUUAAAGCCAAGACAGGAUUAGUUGAGUAGAAACAUUUUCACGAAGGCAUGUUUUCCAUCUGGCCUCAAAGACUCCAUGAUAUUCUCUGCAAAAGAACACAUCAUACUUCAUAAUAUUGAAAUAGAAAUCCUACUAUUUACAACAGUGUAACUUCUAAAUACAGAUAGAAGAUGCAUUUUCCUGACCAUGCAGAAGCAAAGUAGAAUUUAUUUUUAAACAUGCAGCUACUUUACAGGUAUUUCAUUCACUUAAAGAAAUGAAGUAAGAACCUACUGCCUGAAGUGUGAAUAACCCAAUCCAGCAAGGUCCGAGCCAAAAGUAACAGGUUUGCGUGCAGGCAGCUUGUGGUUGGUUCUGUGCUAUUACACAACACUGGACAGUUGACUAUCCUGUGCCCUGCUUAUCCAUCAAUAACAUAGCAGUAUUCUUACUACAAUGAAGCCUAUUAUCUUGAUUAUUUCCUUUUUUCAACUAUUUCCCAUCAGCAAUCCAUUAUUCAUAUAAAUCCAUACAAAGUCCUCUCCUCCUUUCAACAAAAUACAUGCGAGUCAAUGUAUUCCUUCUCUGAGCAAAACAGGAUAGCUCAGUACAUAUUUAAAUAGUUUCUGUGUAUAUCACAGUCAUUCAGUACUAAUCAUAGCUAACCAUAAAGAUUGUACAGAUAACUCCAUUAAUAACUCUGUCGCCACAGUAUAGAAAAUAUAGAACAAGCAAGAAUCAAUAGCAACUCAAGUUGUGCCGGUGUAAUUUCCCACAAACACAAUCAUAUUACAGCAAUGAAGUGGUAAUAAUGGGGAAAAAAAAAAAAAAAACAUACAGAGAAACAAUAACAACAACAACUACUCCCACGCGCUGCAGCUCUUUCCAAGACCUCCUGUUGACAUUCCCAAUGCAGAACCCACAGUGCUCCUCCAGCGCUCCCCUUUGCUUUACAGGACUGCAGCCAGCAUUAACCAAGACAAAUACACUGAACUCACAGCAGCAUGGUUUACCUCUACCAAACACCACACUUCCACCUAAGUUUUACUCAGUAAAUCUAAUGCUGCAGCAGGUACGUCAAAACAGAUCUCUUUGAGCACACAAGAAAACAGGGAAGAGAAGGAACAGGCUUUUCCAUAUUUUCCUAUGCAUGUUUUCAGAAAUCUGACCAAAUUCUCUUUUAGCCAAUAAGGAAAAUAGAAGCUGUAAAACAAAGUUUUAAAAAGACA
Long non-coding RNA from Centrocercus urophasianus (Greater sage-grouse), 2932 nucleotides. RefSeq lists it as uncharacterized. The record is from RefSeq and is a predicted model, not a curated record. NCBI's taxonomy places the organism in Eukaryota, Metazoa, Chordata, Aves, Galliformes, Phasianidae. The transcript is spliced from 3 exons.